GCGUGCAGGAUGAAGGCCUUCGGGUUGUAAACUGCUUUUGUACGGAACGAAACGGCUCGGCCUAAUAUGCUAAGCUAAUGACGGUACCGUAAGAAUAAGCACCGGCUAACUACGUGCCAGCAGCCGCGGUAAUACGUAGGGUGCGAGCGUUAAUCGGAAUUACUGGGCGUAAAGCGUGCGCAGGCGGUUUUGUAAGACAGAUGUGAAAUCCCCGGGCUUAACCUGGGACCUGCAUUUGUGACUGCAAAGCUAGAGUACGGCAGAGGGGGAUGGAAUUCCGCGUGUAGCAGUGAAAUGCGU
RNAcentral lists this ribosomal RNA (300 nucleotides) under uncultured bacterium. RNAcentral's name for it is "bacterial SSU rRNA". It matches the Rfam family "Bacterial small subunit ribosomal RNA", at positions 399 to 691 of the family's 1533-position model. The record is from RNAcentral.